GUCAAGCUUGAGUGCAGGAGAGGCAAAUGGAAUUCCCAGUGUAGCAGUGAAAUGCGUAGAGAUUGGGAGGAACACCAGUGGCGAAGGCGAUUUGCUGGACUGCAACUGACGUUGAGAUGCGAAAGCUAGGGGAGCAAACGGGAUUAGAUACCCCGGUAGUCCUAGCCGUAAACGAUGGAUACUAGGUGUAGAGGGUAUCGACCCCUUCUGUGCCGCAGCGAACGCAAUAAGUAUCCCGCCUGGGGAGUACGGUCGCAAGACUGAAACUCAAAGGAAUUGACGGGGGCCCGCACAAGCAGUGGAGCAUGUGGUUUAAUUCGACGCAACCCGAAGAACCUUACCAGGUCUUGACAUUUAUGGAAACGAGCAGAGAUGUUUGUGUGCCCUUUCGGGGGAACCAUAAAACAGGUGGUGCAUGGUUGUCGUCAGCUCGUGUCGUGAGAUGUUGGGUUAAGUCCCGCAACGAGCGCAACCCUUGAUAAUAGUUGCCAGCAAGUAAGGUUGGGCACUCUAUUGUGACUGCCGUAGAUAAUACGGAGGAGGGUGGGGAUGACGUCAAAUCAUCAUGCCCUAUAUGACCUGGCUACACACGUGCUACAAUGGGGUGAACAACGGGAAGCAAGCCAGCGAUGGUAAGCGGACCCCUAAAAAC
This 652-nucleotide ribosomal RNA is filed under the name uncultured bacterium. RNAcentral describes it as "bacterial SSU rRNA". It matches the Rfam family "Bacterial small subunit ribosomal RNA", at positions 635 to 1282 of the family's 1533-position model. The record is from RNAcentral.